UGUGAGCCUAUGACGCUGCUAUCUGUCCAACAGCACACUGGAGGAUUUCAGUGGAAGUUGCCUCCACCUCAUCCCAGCAAAGAAAAAUUUUAUCUCAUGAGACAAUCCUUGUUUCACCUGAAAGAUUCUACUCAUAGGAUUGUUUAAAAAGGCUGAGAUUUUUCAACAGAAG
Long non-coding RNA from Lagopus leucura (white-tailed ptarmigan), 172 nucleotides. RefSeq lists it as uncharacterized. Lineage: Eukaryota; Metazoa; Chordata; Aves; Galliformes; Phasianidae. The record is from RefSeq and is a predicted model, not a curated record. The transcript has 3 exons.